ACCAGUUCGCCUUGUCCCCGUGCCAACGAAACUAUAAAUAUAAAUGCUUUGAUGCAACUAAAAACUCAGAGACAUUAGUACAAAAUCCUACUUUAGUGCAAGGAGAGAAUUAAACACAGAGAAAAAUGGCAUCACUCAAAGCUGAGAAACCUGUUGGAACUCAACCAUCUGCCCCAGCAAAGAAAGCAUCUGCUAAGGCUCCUCCCGCUUCCAAAUCGGCCCAGAAAAAGCCUCGUGAGCCUAAGAAGAAGGCAUCAGGUAACAAGUCAGCUGCAAAAAACUAAGAAGAAGAACGAGUAAUUAUAAGAGUAUGAUGAAGAAUAUGGCAUGCAGAUCUGUUACUAAUCAAGAAAUGCAUGGCUGCUUUUUAAACUUAUGAGUGAUAUAGUUAUUAAAGCACUGACUUGUACUUUCUUCUCUUUGGUUUCCUAUUAAUGGAAUAAUCUCAUACUCGUAUUUGUAUUC
Molecule: long non-coding RNA, 465 nt
Organism: Nicotiana tabacum (common tobacco)
Lineage: Eukaryota; Viridiplantae; Streptophyta; Magnoliopsida; Solanales; Solanaceae
Source: RefSeq, a predicted model, not a curated record